UCUAGUGGCGAACGGGUGAGUAACACGUGGGUAACUUAUCUUAUAGCCGAGGAUAACAGUUGGAAACGACUGCUAAUACUGGAUAGGUUGAAUGAACACAGGUUUAUUCAAUUAAAGAUGCUUCACGACAUCACUAUAAGAGAGGCCCGCGGUGCAUUAGCUAGUUGGUGGGGUAAGGGCCUACCAAGGCGAUGAUGCAUAGCUGUGCUGAGAGGCAGAACAGCCACACUGGGACUGAGACACGGCCCAGACUCCUACGGGAGGCAGCAGUAGGGAAUUUUCGGCAAUGGAGGGAACUCUGACCGAGCAAUGCCGCGUGAACGAUGAAGGUCUUCGGACUGUAAAGUUCUGUUGUUAGGGAAGAAUAAUACAGAUAGGAAAUGAUCUGUAGAUGACGGUACUUAACCAGAAAGCCCCGGCUAACUAUGUGCCAGCAGCCGCGGUAAUACAUAGGGGGCGAGCGUUAUCCGGAAUUAUUGGGCGUAAAGGGUGCGUAGGCGGUUUAUUAAGUCUGGUGUGAAAUAUUACAGCUUAACUGUAAAGGGUCAUCGGAAACUGAUAAACUUGAGUACGGUAGGGGCAAGUGGAAUUCCAAGUGGAGCGGUGGAAUGCGUAGAUAUUUGGAGGAACACCAGUAGCGAANGGCGGCUUGCUGGGCCGGAACUGACGCUGAGGCACGAAAGCGUGGGGAGCAAACAGGAUUAGAUACCCUGGUAGUCCACGCCGUAAACGAUGAGUAUUAAGUGUCGGACAAAAGUUCGGUGCUGCAGUUAACACAAUAAAUACUCCGCCUGGGGAGUAUGGUCGCAAGACUGAAACUCAAAGGAAUUGACGGGGACUCGCACAAGCGGUGGAGCAUGCGGAUUAAUUCGAUGCAACGCGAAGAACCUUACCAGGCCUUGACAUCCUGUUGCCAGGGCUAGAGAUAGCCCCUUCCUUCGGGACAACAGAGACAGGUGGUGCAUGGUUGUCGUCAGCUCGUGUCGUGAGAUGUUGGGUUAAGUCCCAUAACGAGCGCAACCCUUAUCAUUAGUUGCUAACAUUAAGUUGAGGACUCUAAUGAGACCGCCGGUGACAAACCGGAUGAAGGUGGGGAUGACGUCAAAUCAUCAUGCCCCUUAUGGCCUGGGCUUCACGCGUGCUACAAUGGCUAGUACAAAGAGUCGCGAAACCGCGAGGUGGAGCAAAUCUCAUAAAGCUAGUCUCAGUUCGGAUUGUAGUCUGCAACUCGACUACAUGAAGGCGGAACCGCUAGUAAUCGCAAAUCAGAAUGUUGCGGUGAAUACGUUCUCGAGUCUUGUACACACCGCCCGUCACACCAUGAGAGUUUGCAAUACCCGAAGCCGGUGGCUAACCGCAAGGAGAGAG
RNAcentral lists this ribosomal RNA (1368 nucleotides) under uncultured bacterium. Its description in RNAcentral is "bacterial SSU rRNA". It matches the Rfam family "Bacterial small subunit ribosomal RNA", at positions 91 to 1452 of the family's 1533-position model. The record is from RNAcentral.